This 466-nucleotide ribosomal RNA is filed under the name uncultured bacterium. RNAcentral describes it as "partial 16S ribosomal RNA". It matches the Rfam family "Bacterial small subunit ribosomal RNA", at positions 30 to 507 of the family's 1533-position model. The record is from RNAcentral.
CGACCGCUGGCGGCGUGCUUACCACAUGCAAGUCGAACGGCAAGGCCCUGCUUUUGUGGGGUGCUCGAGUGGCGAACGGGUGAGUAACACGUGAGUAACCUGCCCUUGACUUUGGGAUAACUUCAGGAAACUGGGGCUAAUACCGGAUAGGAGCUCCUGCUGCAUGGUGGGGGUUGGAAAGUUUCGGCGGUUGGGGAUGGACUCGCGGCUUAUCAGCUUGUUGGUGGGGUAGUGGCUUACCAAGGCUUUGACGGGUAGCCGGUCUGAGAGGGUGACCGGCCACAUUGGGACUGAGAUACGGCCCAGACUCCUACGGGAGGCAGCAGUGGGGAAUAUUGCACAAUGGGCGGAAGCCUGAUGCAGCAACGCCGCGUGCGGGAUGACGGCCUUCGGGUUGUAAACCGCUUUCGCCUGUGACGAAGCGUGAGUGACGGUAAUGGGUAAAGAAGCACCGGCUAACUACGUG